Molecule: long non-coding RNA, 693 nt
Filed under: Mytilus galloprovincialis (Mediterranean mussel)
Lineage: Eukaryota; Metazoa; Mollusca; Bivalvia; Mytilida; Mytilidae
Source: RNAcentral
CAUAAUUACCUUAUUCAGAAGUUAUUCAUGCAUCCUAUUUAAUCCAUAUUUAUCCUUUUAUAAUGUUAGAAUUAUCCCAAAUCGAACUUGUCAACUUUAUGGCCAUUUUGGUUACUUUCAUUUUGUGUACACACGUACUAUUUUUAGGUGUAUUGAUUAACUUGAUCUUUUAAACGUUUAGAGAAAAGUAUAGUCAGUUUCAAAUUACCUCGCAGACAGAUCAGCUGUUUUUAGUAAGUGACCUAGAUUUUACUAUUCAUGUAUUUUCACUAUUAUAGCACACACUGCAAUUCUAUUUAGAUAUAUUGUAAUUGAUUCAUAAUUAUUAUUUAUGAUAUUAGCUUUUAAUAAAGCUGCUUUUAUUUAAUUCCAACAAAUCUUAUUCUUGAUUAUUCAAAGUUUGGACUUCAAAACAGUUUUAUUCCUUCGACUUUAAAAUUGAUAUUUAUAUAAUAUCUGCCAACCAUUUACAAUAACGGUUGGCGCUUCAAUUGGUGGCAGCGGUAAAAAGAACAUUAAAAAAAAAAAAAAAAAAAAGAAAAAGAGAGGAAAAAAGUAAUACAUAAAAAAAAAAACCAACAACAUACAAAUCAGCAUAUAUUGAAACUCAAACUGUGGUUUACAUAUGAUAUUAUUGAGCACCAAGAGUUAUUGAAAUUCAAGGUGUAUUUUUCCAUAAAUAAAUUAUUGAAC